CUUGAUGGAUGAAUUAUAAUACUUUGUGAUCUUCUUCUCUGUGGAGAAUAAAGGAUUAUUUAUAUACUUCUGAGAGUGUCCCAAAUUAUCUAUUGAGACUUUUUAGGGAAAACCAGUAAAAAAAUGUCCAAUAAAUACAUUCACAUCUACAAAAAUUAUAACACAUAAUAAAUACCCUUGUCAUUAGAUUUUAUGAAGCUUAGCAAGAGGUCAAGCACAGUUGCUUCUGUCUCUCCAUGAUGAACCCACCUUUUGAUGGAUCAACUAAGUAGUCAGAGACACUCAAGGGGAGUAAUUGGUCUGCAUUGCUCUACAGAUAGAUUCACAUC
RNAcentral lists this long non-coding RNA (329 nucleotides) under Musa acuminata (dwarf banana). Its description in RNAcentral is "long non-coding RNA (MACU_LNC007175)". The record is from RNAcentral. Lineage: Eukaryota; Viridiplantae; Streptophyta; Magnoliopsida; Zingiberales; Musaceae.